RNAcentral lists this ribosomal RNA (460 nucleotides) under uncultured bacterium. RNAcentral's name for it is "partial 16S ribosomal RNA". It matches the Rfam family "Bacterial small subunit ribosomal RNA", at positions 338 to 795 of the family's 1533-position model. The record is from RNAcentral.
CCUACGGGCGGCAGCAGUGAGGAAUAUUGGUCAAUGGACGAGAGUCUGAACCAGCCAAGUAGCGUGAAGGAUGACUGCCCUAUGGGUUGUAAACUUCUUUUAUAUGGGAAUAAAACGUUCCACGUGUGGGAUUUUGUAUGUACCAUAUGAAUAAGGAUCGGCUAACUCCGUGCCAGCAGCCGCGGUAAUACGGAGGAUCCGAUCGUUAGCCGGUUUUAUUGGGUUUAAAGGGAGCGUAGGUGGAUUGUUAAGUCAGUUGUGAAAGUUUGCGGCUCAACCGUAAAAUUGCAGUUGAAACUGGCAGUCUUGAGUACAGUAGAGGUGGGCGGAAUUCGUGGUGUAGCGGUGAAAUGCUUAGAUAUCACGAAGAACUCCGAUUGCGAAGGCAGUUCACUGGACUGCAACUGACACUGAGGCUCGAAAGUGUGGGUAUCAAACAGGAUUAGAUACCCGAGUAGUC